UGUUGCUUGAUUUUCAACAGAACAAAAGAGGACCCAUAAAUUCUGAAGUUAAUUGCUGUGAACAACUUCCUUCUAUGUCUCAGAUAUUGCGUAGCGAUGAGGGCUGUGGUGGCCGACUGACAGUGACAAAAAGAAAGAGAAAAAUGGUACCCUCGCCUGCAGAAACAACAGAACAAAGAGUUUACUCUUGCAGAUGUGAGAAAUUUAAACGUGGAACAUCUUGAUCGAUUCAGUCCAGAACAUGUAGGAUUUGGUGAAUUUGGGACGAGAAUAUGAUUGAAAUGAAGGGUUGUGAGAGCAAUGCAAAGAGAUUGUAGAUGAAAGGCUCACUCUCUGAGUGCUUGAAGAGAAAAUCAAGAUCCUAACCUUCUGUUUCUCUCUUUCUUUCACGCGCGUGCGUACUCAGAAAAAUCUCUCCCGUGGACAGACACACGUACAACACCCUAAUCAAAUUUGCAGAAACAUUUUCUGCUACAGCUGCCUAAAUUGCAGAUAUGUAUUAAAAUAUUUGUCUCCAUUUUUCCUAAUUUCAUCUUUUUUUUUUUUUUAGUUCAACAAUUGCAGGGUGAGGAUCGAACCAACGAACUUUAGACUAAACUAUGCUCGGAUUAACGUAUAUGUUCGAAUUCCGACCCUUUAACCGAACGGUUAGGUCCCUUCAUUUAGGCUUCUCAAUUUUCGUUAUACAAUCAAUCCUUUUCUUAACUAAAUUCACCUUCUCUCUGGAUUCUUUUGAAGCUUGUUGCAUAUACUUUCUCUUUGUUUCUGUUUUUUUUUUCUUUUUCAGUGUAAAUUGAGAAGAAAGUAGGUUGCGUGCAACGCAGCUACAAAGACAGGCUUCAAAAUUCUGCAAUUCAGGUGAAGAAGGUGAGACAUGACAGUGGUGAAACAAAGUAAAGGGUAAGAGAGAGCCCUAAAUUAAGCUCUACCUAGCCCCAUACGCGUCAAAGGGUCUAGAUUAAUUCAUCUCUUUUUUAGCCUUUUUCUUACCUAUGGAUAGAGAAAAAAAAAAAAAAAAAAAAAAACUAAAUUUAUAAGAACAAACAAACAAACCAAAACACGACUUUUAUUAUUUUUCUAGCAUUUCUUUUACUCAUACAAAACAAAGAGAGCUACAUAAACUUACCUCUCUUAUGUGAUCUAGGUCUUUGCCUUUUCUUUGGAAUCAAUUCAAAAGAAAAAAAAAAAGUAUAAAUAAAACAACCACCACCAAAAAACCAACUCCCUUUUACCUUUCCAGCGAGAAAGCUUUAAAACCCUUCUUCCUUUCCCUUUGAUAAACUAACUUGUGAGGGUGAUUUAGUCACUGAAUUCUGCAAAGCUCUGCUGAACAAGCUGAAGCAAAACCCUAACUGGAAGAAGAAGAAAAAGAAGAAGAAGAGAGAAAAGAUGGAGAGAGAGAGAGAGAGAAGUGAAAUGAGUGACAAAAAUUGAGGGUAUUGAGUGGAGGGAAAGAUGGGGAAAAUAGUAUAUUUAGUGGAUGGGAAGAAGCAGAGAGAAGGGAAUGGAGGCAAAAGACAAGGAUAAUAAAUGGUGGGUACACUAACAAAAGAAUGACUAUGACCCUGCAUCCAAUAAUAUUAUCAUGGAUGUGGGAUUGUCUCCCUUUUUUAUUCCCUUCUAAUUUUUUUCAUGCACUCCCCAUUACACACCUCAUACCUAUCAUUUUCAUAUAUCUUAUCAUUUUUUUUUCAAUUGAAUACCUCCAUUAAUAUUAUAAUACCCUUUUCAAUACCCAUUCAUUCAUUGCUUAAGUAACGAGUAUAAUGCUAUUAAGAUUAUACUCUUGUCAUUACACAAGUAUACUCGUUAUUUAAGUAGUGAGAAUGAAUAGAUUUGAACUUAGAAUUUAGAUGAAAGAUUGAAAUUUGAUCAAGUGUUUUGAGUAUAUAGACGUGUAGGUUCAUGAUAGAUUCACCACCAAAAAGAAAGAAAGAAAGAAAGAAUGAAAACUGAUAGCAGGAUUUUAUCACGAUUGUACUGACCGAGGCCAUGCACUGCAACUUGCAAAAUAAACCACAUAUCUCUUUCUUUUUCUUUUGCUUUCUCUCUCUCUCUCUCUUUCUCUCUCUCUGUAACUUGUUUCAAAUUCAAUCAUAUCGCAUCAUACUAAAAAAAUGGUUGCUAUUAUUGCGCAUCAAUUUAUGUUUUACCUUUUAACUCCCAAUGAUCUUCUUUUGGGUGAAAUUUAAACCAGCGAUGAAAAUAACAGAGCCUCACUUGAUUAUACUGGGAAUGAAGAACAUGAUAUUUGGUGACGAAGAGAACAGAUUCGAGGAUGUAAAAUCAAGUUGAUGGGUUAGUACUUCUUGUUCUCUUUCAAUUGAUUGAUAAUUUUCGGUAUUUAAUUAUAGUAUACACAUUUAUCUAUUUAUUUAUUUAGCUUAGGGGUAGGCUUUUAGGGCGAUGUGCGUAGUCUAGGGGAGGGGUCUCCCGGCGAUGCUGCUAUCACGCCUUUUACCCAAUUGCUCACCAUAUUCCACAAAAAUACAAAUAUCAAUGUCACAUUAUCAAAUUUAAACUUAUAAUUCAAUAAAUAAACAAAAAAACUUAUCUAGCUAGAUAAAAAAG
Long non-coding RNA from Cucurbita maxima (winter squash), 2571 nucleotides. RefSeq lists it as uncharacterized. The record is from RefSeq and is a predicted model, not a curated record. The transcript is spliced from 5 exons. NCBI's taxonomy places the organism in Eukaryota, Viridiplantae, Streptophyta, Magnoliopsida, Cucurbitales, Cucurbitaceae.